CCUACGGGUGGCAGCAGUAGGGAAUAUUGCUCAAUGGGCGAAACCCUGACGCAGCAACGCCGCGUGGAGGAUGAAGGUUUUCGGGUUGUAAACUCCUUUUGUUAGAGAAGAAAAUGACGGUAUCCAACGAAUAAGCACCGGCUAACUCCGUGCCAGCAGCCGCGGUAAUACGGAGGGUGCAAGCGUUACUCGGAAUCACUGGGCGUAAAGAGCGCGUAGGCGGGAUAUAAAGUCAGAUGUUAAAUCCUCGGGCUUAACCAUAGAACUGCAUUUGAAACUGGGAUUCUAGAGUAUGGGAGAGGUAGGGGGAAUUCUUGGUGUAGGGGUAAAAUCCGUAGAGAUCAAGAGGAACACUCGUUGCGAAGGCGACCUGCUGGAACAUAACUGACGCUGAGGCGCGAAAGCGUGGGGAGCAAACAGGAUUAGAUACCCGAGUAGUC
RNAcentral lists this ribosomal RNA (440 nucleotides) under uncultured bacterium. RNAcentral describes it as "partial 16S ribosomal RNA". It matches the Rfam family "Bacterial small subunit ribosomal RNA", at positions 338 to 795 of the family's 1533-position model. The record is from RNAcentral.